GGAAAAAUGAGUUGAUUUUAAAUUUCAUGGCAUCAACACAUCUCGAAAAAGUUGGGACAAGGCCAUGUUUACCACUGUGUGGCAUCCCCUCUUCUUUUUAUAACAGACUGCAAACGUCUGGGGACUGAGGAGACAAGUUGCUCAAGUUUAUGAAUAGGAAUGUUGUCCCAAUCUUGUCUAAUACAGGCUUUUAGUUGCUUAACUGUCGUAGGUCUUCUUUGUCGCACCUUCCUCUUUAUGAUGCGCCAAAUGUUUUCUAUGGGUGAAAGAUCUGAACUAGAGGCUGGCCAUUUCAGUACCUGGAUCCUUCUUCUAUGCAGCCAUGACAUUGUAAUUAAUGCAGUAUGUGGUCUGGCAUUGUCAUGUUGGAAAAUGCAAGGUCUUCCCUGAAAGAGAUGACGUCUGGAUGGGAGCAUAUGUUGUUCUAGAACUUGGAUAUAACUGUCAGCAUUGAUGGUGCCUUUCCAGAUGUGUAGGCUGCCCAUGCCACACGCACUCAUGCAACCCCAUACCAUCAGAGAUGCAGGCUUAAGAACUGAGCGCUGGUAACAACUUGGGUUGUCCUUGUCCUCUUUAGUCUGGAUGACAUUGUAUCCCAGUUUUCCAAAAUGAACUUCAAAUUUUGAUUUGUCUGACCACAGAACACUUUUCCACUUUGCCAUAGUCCAUUUUAAAUGAUCCUUGGCCCAGAGAAAACGCCUGCGCUUCUGGAUCCUGUUUAGAUACAGCUUCUUUUUUGACCUAUAGAGUUUUAGCCGGCAACGGCGAAUGGCACGGUGGAUUGUUAUCAUUCCUGUAUGUGAUGCCGUGCCGUCUGAGGGCCCGAAGAUCACAGGCAUCCAGUAUGGUUUUCCAGCCUUGACCCUUACGCACAGAGAUUGUCCCAGAUUCUCUGAAUCUUUGGAUGAUAUUAUGCACUGUAGAUGAUGAUAACUUCAAACUCUUUGCAAUUUUUCUCUGAGAAACUCCUUUCUGAUAUUGCUUCACUAUUUUUCGCCGCAGCAUUGGGGGGAUUGGUGAUCCUCUGCCCAUCUUGAAUUCUGAGAGACACUGCCACUCUAUACCCAAUCAUGUUGCCAAUUGACAUAAUAAGUUGCAAAUUGGUCCUCCAGCUGUUCCUUAUCUGUACAUUUAACUUUUCCGGCCUCUUAUUGCUACCUGUCCCAACUUUUUGAGCCAAUAUUUGGCAAGACAUUACAAAAUGUC
Long non-coding RNA from Esox lucius (northern pike), 1206 nucleotides. NCBI's taxonomy places the organism in Eukaryota, Metazoa, Chordata, Actinopteri, Esociformes, Esocidae. The record is from Ensembl.